UGAAUUGAAUGGGAGCUAAUGUUCUUUCC
Molecule: non-coding RNA, 29 nt
Filed under: Mus musculus (house mouse)
Lineage: Eukaryota; Metazoa; Chordata; Mammalia; Rodentia; Muridae
Source: RNAcentral